This 253-nucleotide ribosomal RNA is filed under the name uncultured bacterium. RNAcentral's name for it is "partial 16S ribosomal RNA". It matches the Rfam family "Bacterial small subunit ribosomal RNA", at positions 524 to 776 of the family's 1533-position model. The record is from RNAcentral.
UACGUAGGGACCAAGCGUUGUCCGGAAUCAUUGGGCGUAAAGAGCGUGUAGGCGGCUUGUUAAGUCUUGCGUGAAAUCUCGGGGCUCAACCCCGAGCGGUUGUGAGAAACUGGCAGGCUAGAGUGCGGGAGAGGAGAGUGGAAUUCCUGGUGUAGCGGUGAAAUGCGCAGAUAUCAGGAAGAACACCAAUGGCGAAGGCAGCUCGCUGGGACGGUACUGACGCUGAGGCGCGAAAGCGUGGGGAGCAAACAGG